UACGGAGGGGGCUAGCGUUGUUCGGAAUUACUGGGCGUAAAGCGCACGUAGGCGGCUUUGUAAGUCAGAGGUGAAAUCCCGGGGCUCAACCCCGGAACUGCCUUUGAGACUGCAAGGCUCGAAUCCAGGAGAGGUGAGUGGAAUUCCGAGUGUAGAGGUGAAAUUCGUAGAUAUUCGGAAGAACACCAGUGGCGAAGGCGGCUCACUGGACUGGUAUUGACGCUGAGGUGCGAAAGCGUGGGGAGCAAACAGG
This 253-nucleotide ribosomal RNA is filed under the name uncultured bacterium. Its description in RNAcentral is "partial 16S ribosomal RNA". It matches the Rfam family "Bacterial small subunit ribosomal RNA", at positions 524 to 776 of the family's 1533-position model. The record is from RNAcentral.